GACGAACGCUGGCGGCGUGCUUAACACAUGCAAGUCGAACGGUAAGGCCCUUCGGGGUACACGAGUGGCGAACGGGGGAGUAACACGUGGGUGAUCUGCCCUGCACUUCGGGAUAAGCCUGGGAAACUGGGUCUAAUACCGGAUAGGACUCCUGGCUUCAUGGUUGGGGGUGGAAAGCUUUUGCGGUGUGGGAUGGGCCCGCGGCCUAUCAGCUUGUUGGUGGGGUAAUGGCCUACCAAGGCGACGCAGGGUAGCCGGCCUGAGAGGGUGACCGGUCACACUGGGACUGAGAUACGGCCCAGACUCCUACGUGAGGCAGCAGUGGGGAAUAUUGCACAAUGGGCGCAAGCCUGAUGCAGCGACGCCGCGUGAGGGAUGACGGCCUUCGGGUUGUAAACCUCUUUCAGCUAUGACGAAGCGCAAGUGACGGUAGUAGCAGAAGAAGGACCGGCCAACUACGUGCCAGCAGCCGCCGUAA
This 478-nucleotide ribosomal RNA is filed under the name uncultured bacterium. Its description in RNAcentral is "partial 16S ribosomal RNA". It matches the Rfam family "Bacterial small subunit ribosomal RNA", at positions 28 to 523 of the family's 1533-position model. The record is from RNAcentral.